Long non-coding RNA from Macadamia integrifolia, 663 nucleotides. RefSeq lists it as uncharacterized. The transcript is spliced from 2 exons. NCBI's taxonomy places the organism in Eukaryota, Viridiplantae, Streptophyta, Magnoliopsida, Proteales, Proteaceae. The record is from RefSeq and is a predicted model, not a curated record.
GAGGAUUAGAUUCUCUUCUCAGAACAGCCAGAGAAUCGGAGAAAGAAGUGGAGGAGACUGGAAACCUCAGUCCCCGGAGGAGAGGAAUCCCGAGAUUGUGACUCUGUGAGUGUUGAGUGAUCACAGUCUCUUUUCAGCUACUAUUUCUUCGCCUUUUCUCUCGUAAAAGAAUUAGCUACAGUGCAAACUGGGGACUCAAAAAGCUAACAGUGGAGAGUGCGGACUCAAAAAGGUACGGAUUGAUCUGUUUCGUUCUUGAUCGAUAAUUUUCUCCCCUCCAUUACUGUUUUUUGAGUUGAAACUAGGUCUUAAUAGUUCAUCCUUCAUACAUUUGUUGCUCAGAUCUCACUUCUUAUGGCAUAGUUUAGUUUCUACCCCUUUUCCUCUUCUUUUCUGAACUUCUGUAUAUGUCGUACAUCUCUUAGAAGUUAGAACUUCUAUUUGCCUGAGAAAAUUGCGGUGAUUUGUUGCUUCUGUGAAGGUUCAUGCUGGCUUUGCUGAUUAUACCGGCAGUAUGUUUACUUGCGAGUUAUGAUUUAAUGUAGCUAUUUAUCCUAAAUCGCGAAUACGAUCUUUUUAGAUUUGUUCAACACAAAUGAAUUUGGAUCGUUCCUGUGCGUGGAAAAUGAAUACAAAUUACAACCGUGUCGCGAUUGUCUGCAA